Molecule: small nucleolar RNA, 128 nt
Organism: Grammomys surdaster
Lineage: Eukaryota; Metazoa; Chordata; Mammalia; Rodentia; Muridae
Product: small nucleolar RNA SNORA17
Exons: 1
Source: RefSeq, a predicted model, not a curated record
CCUGCCUCCCAGAGUCAUUGGAGGUCUGUAUUUUGUGUCAUAUGAGUGUCAGAGAAGAGAGAGGCUAUGUCUAUGCUCACCUCACUGUCCUGACCUCUGAAUGUCUGAAUGAGAAGUAGCCUAACAUU